UGACCUCGGAUCAGGUAGGGAUACCCGCUGAACUUAAGCAUAUCAAUAAGCGGAGGAAAAGAAACCAACAGGGAUUGCCUCAGUAACGGCGAGUGAAGCGGCAAGAGCUCAAAUUUGAAAUCUGGCCCCUUCGGGGUCCGAGUUGUAAUUUGUAGAGGAUGCUUCGGGUGCGGCCCCCGUCUAAGUGCUCUGGAACGGGCCAUCGGAGAGGGUGAGAAUCCCGUCUGGGACGGGGUGUCCGCGUCCAUGUGAAGCUCCUUCGACGAGUCGAGUUGUUUGGGAAUGCAGCUCUAAAUGGGUGGUAAAUUUCAUCUAAAGCUAAAUACUGGCCGGAGACCGAUAGCGCACAAGUAGAGUGAUCGAAAGAUGAAAAGCACUUUGAAAAGAGAGUUAAACAGCACGUGAAAUUGUUGAAAGGGAAGCGCUUGCGACCAGACUCGCUUCCGGGGUUCAGCCGGCUUUCGGGCCGGUGUACUUCCCCGGGGGCGGGCCAGCGUCGGUUUGGGCGGCCGGUCAAAGGCCCCUGGAAUGUAACGCCCCUCGGGGCGCCUUAUAGCCAGGGGUGUCAUGCGGCCAGCCUGGACCGAGGAACGCGC
RNAcentral lists this ribosomal RNA (596 nucleotides) under Aspergillus pseudoglaucus. Its description in RNAcentral is "eukaryotic LSU rRNA". It matches the Rfam family "Eukaryotic large subunit ribosomal RNA", at positions 1 to 600 of the family's 3401-position model. Lineage: Eukaryota; Fungi; Ascomycota; Eurotiomycetes; Eurotiales; Aspergillaceae. The record is from RNAcentral.